CGGGCUUUACCUUUCCAUCUUGCUUUUGUCAGUGAGUGGAACCCCUGCUCAAGUCCAGAACCAAAUGAGGUUACAUAGAAACUCAAGUACAAGUGGGAACUUCUGCUCAAGUCCGGAACCAACUGAGGUUACACAAAAUCUCAUUGAGCGUUUGGAGAAAGAGACUGCUGCAACAUGCAAUUGCAGUGCCAAUGUAAGUGAAUGGGUCAGAAUUUUUAAGCCCUGUUGAUAUUUUUCUGUUGUCAAGUAUCACUUAACAGAAUCUUAUCUUUAAAUAUCUCUUUUGCAGGUGACUGACUGUUUAUGUCUUCCUGUAUCUUCUAACAGCUGUAGCACAUCGUGCUUUCAGUAUGGGCUGACAAAGAUGUCUGACACAUUGAAACCAAGUUAUAGUCGAACCAUCUUUAGAGUGCAGAGUUAUGUCGGGCAGCUAAGGCGCCUCAAAUGCAAACCUUUUUCAUGUUACCAGCCAUGCAAUGAGACCUUCACUGCUAACACAAUGGAGUUUCUGAAGGCUCUCCAGGAAAACUUCCAGAAAGUACCUAUUUCUAACAACUAAUGAACAAGCAAUUACUAUUUAACAUAUUUAUUAUCUAAAUAAAUCAUCCUACUAUAAUUAUUGCA
Molecule: long non-coding RNA, 624 nt
Filed under: Phascolarctos cinereus (koala)
Lineage: Eukaryota; Metazoa; Chordata; Mammalia; Diprotodontia; Phascolarctidae
Description: lncRNA (ENSPCIG00000010840.2)
Source: RNAcentral